AUGGCAUGUCAGUCUCAAAGGCCGAGAAGUCAGAUCACGACAUAGUGAGCUGUACUCUCCUCCAUCCGCAGUUCCUGCUGAAGCAACCAGCCAAACUGCAGUAUGCUCCUACUUCAGCUUUUGACGAUAUCAACUCCAACUCUGCUGACUGGGACUCCAUCAACAAUGCACUUCUUGCUGUAGACUGGUCUACAGUCGUCAAUCCAACGACACCACAAGAUGUUGCUUGGGACAUGUUUGAAGGUAUCAUCGUCCAAGUUUGCAAGAAGCAUGCUCCUUCACACAACCACAACCGCCAAGCCGCCGCAUCCUCAUCCUCUUCAAAGAUCCCCAAGUCCCGAAGAGCUCUCCUCCGUAAAAAGAAGCGCCUCAACGCUAGGAUCAACUCUAUCAAGUACAGAUUCGCAGGCCCUGCUCCUCCACGAAACGUCACCAAGCUUCAAAAACUUAAUGACGAGAGAGCUGCCAUUGAGCUGCUUCUGAAAGCAGACAUCAAGCAGCAACGCCUGGGAGACGAAUUAGCUGCCAUCAGCAAAAUAAAGACCAACCCCAAGGCCUUUUACUCCUUUGCAAAGAAGUCAAAGUCUCCUGUCUCCUCUGUUGGCCCCCUACUGGACAGUGACGACCAGCUCCAGUCAGAUCCCGUUAGAAUGGGCAGUAUAUUGCAGGAGCAAUAUGCAAAGGCAUUUAGCAACCCCGAAAAAGCUAACCUCGCUGAGGUUCGUGUAUCCAAGCUUGUCGCCCAGUCAGAGUUGAUAACGGAUAUUGACUUUGACGAGCACGAUGUCCUUGAUGCUAUCAAAGCAAUGGGCCGCUACUCAGCUGCUGGCCCGGAUAAGUUCCCAGCCCUCAUCCUCAAGGAAUGUGGAACCGUGCUAGCCCCAGUAGUCACUCAGCUCUGAAGAUCAUCACUCAACUCUGGAGAAAUAGCGACAAAGUUCAAGAGUCAAAGCGUGAUUCCUCUGUUCAAAAAGGGAAAAAGAUCGGUAGCUGCCAACUAUCGACCUGUCUCCCUAACAUCUCAUCUCAUCAAGAUGUUCGAACGGGUCUUCCGUGCUAAGUUGGUUGAUUUUAUUGAAUCCAAGGAUAUCAUCAAUCAAGAUCAGCAUGGCUUCCGAGCUGGAAGAAGCUGCCUGACCCAACUCCUUCACCAUGUUGAGGACAUCAUGUGUGAUUUGAAUGCUGACGAGAACGCUGACAUCCUCUAUCUGGAUUUCAGUAAAGCAUUUGACAAAGUCGAUCA
RNAcentral lists this long non-coding RNA (1243 nucleotides) under Gadus morhua (Atlantic cod). RNAcentral's name for it is "lncRNA (ENSGMOG00000030015.1)". Lineage: Eukaryota; Metazoa; Chordata; Actinopteri; Gadiformes; Gadidae. The record is from RNAcentral.